Molecule: small RNA, 127 nt
Organism: Rhizobium sp. Leaf306
Lineage: Bacteria; Pseudomonadati; Pseudomonadota; Alphaproteobacteria; Hyphomicrobiales; Rhizobiaceae
Rfam family: Alphaproteobacterial ar14
About the family: Smr14C2 was renamed NfeR1 (Nodule Formation Efficiency RNA) highly expressed in salt stress and during the symbiotic interaction on legume roots.
Source: Rfam
AGACACGCAGAACCCUCCCUCCUCCUCCCAGAGGUUUCUGCAGCAGAGCACCGGCACUCCUCCUCCCAGCCGUUGCUCUCGUCUUUUGAAGAGCCUGCCGCACCUCCUCCCGCGGCGGGCUCUUUUC